GCAACAAUCUGCUCUCUGGAAAUUGCUGCAAUGCUUGUCAAAAGUCACUGUUUUAUCCUAUAAUUUUCUACAAGGAGCUGGCAAGAAGAACACAGUGGAGGCCAAGCCAGCAGCAGUCCUCCUGAACUUCAGGCUGGAUUCAUUUAGUGGAUUGGAACUCCUAGGGUUGAAUAUAGUUAAGUGACCUCUACAAAAACUUCCUCUUUGAAGUGUUCUCUGAAGAGAUCUUCAAGGCAUCUGAGUGCCUCAGAUUGUGAUUUUGUAAGGUUUUGAUGCUAGAAAAUUGUUUAACAAACAGCUCCAAAAUAUUGAGAUUUUGAUUAAUAACAUACAGUGUCAUGGUAUUUAAAUAAUAAAAAGUUUGAAAUCUAACAUGUGGCAGAAGACUAUGUGUUCCACAUGGUUAAGAGAAUAGGAAUGGGGGCAUACCAAUAUCUGAGCAGGAGGGAAAUAGUUAUACAGAGCCAAUUAAACUGUUGUUUAGGAAUAUAUUAUACUGUUGUCUCUACUUGUGCCAGAACUUUUCCUCUGAAUUCAUGGUUGAAGAGGAUGCUACUUCAGCAGAAUAGGGAGUUUGGGUUACUGUUGCUUUUUUUUUAUGUGUACAUACUGUAUGACUCUGCAGAACCCUGGAUUUGGUUAACGUUGACUUGUCAGCAGACAGCAGUUUGGGAAUAUUAGCCUAAUUUCUUAAAAUAGUAUUAUGUGAAUAAUUUAGGAAAUCUAGAUUAGUAUAACAGUCUUGAAGAGCAAUGCUCACACUGCAAUCAGUUCUAAGGCCUCAGUACAUUUCACUGUAGUUAAAUUCUAAAGUGUAGAGUUUCAUGCUCUUCUCAGUGUUGAAACUUUUCUCAUAAAAGAGUACUCUGCCAAAACAAGUUUUACGCUGUCUAAGGAAGCAAAUACUACUGUAUCUGGAGUCUUUGCAAUGACAGGACUUUAACUAAUGUUGAGAUAUGCUCUACUGGCCUACACUGAGGGGUUGAUUUAAAAAUCCCACCUCAUUUAUACCCUCAUUACCACUAGAUUAGGAUCGCAUCUGAUCCCAUAGUAAUUACAUAUUAGCUGUGUAUAUUAUCUGAUGUUUGCAUAUGAGUUUUUAUUUUAAUAAGUGAAAAGUAGAAAACCCAACUCUGGCAUCUAUACCCCAUUUGCAUAUAUACUUUUUAAAUUCUAAA
Molecule: non-coding RNA, 1178 nt
Organism: Cyanistes caeruleus (blue tit)
Lineage: Eukaryota; Metazoa; Chordata; Aves; Passeriformes; Paridae
Source: RefSeq, a predicted model, not a curated record